AGGCUGGACCCGGAUGCAGUGUUGGGGGAGAGAGGGAUGAAAAAGCCAGAGUGUCAUAGGAAAAGGGGAACAGGGAGACAAAAAGAGACAAAAUUACUCAAAGAAUGCAAAAUUGUUUAUGCUCAGAACAGUUAAAUUAAGCUUUUAUUUGCUGAUUGUAUUAAAUAAAAACAUCACAUAUAGCAGCUCUGGGCCUCCCAGAGCUAAAAAAAAAAGGCUGCAUCCAGCUCAUAAAGGUGACAAAUAUAAUUUUAAUGAAAUGAAAGCUCCACCCCGUCACUGUUUUAGGCAUUAUAACAACUAUACUGAUAAUAAUGUCUCCCUAUUUAUCCUGGACGGUCCUAUUGAGAUAUUUCCUUGCAAGGAGUCUUGAUGGAGGUAGAAGCAUAAACACAAACUAAACCUGUUUUUAUUUUAUUUUUUUAAAUAAAAGCAUAAUCAGAAAGUAUAGAAGAAAAAAUACAGAAAUAAAACAAUUACAGAAGUAAUACUAAACAGAAAAAGUAGAUAGGCGUUCAACAUUUGAAAGCCCUUUCUUUCAGAACAGUUUAUAGAAGAUUAUAAAAUUUGAGACGGGGACAGGUGUGAAGACUGACGAUGUCUUGAUGCUCAUCCCAAAGACGCGUGAGACAAUCUGACAGCAAUUUUAGACUCAUCAUCAUAGACACUUAGAUGACAUAACAAAAGGCAUGAAAUAUAAAUAGGCAAUUACCCAAUAUGCAAUAAACAGCAACAUAUCCAUUCUAAAGAAUCAAAGAAGAGGUAAUGGGAGUUGUUACGGAUUCAACAAAGUCGAGGUAGGGAUGACGGAGAAAGAAACAUUCCACGAGUUUAUUCCUGGAUGCAAGGGGAAUGACAUUUCCGAAUGAAAUAAAUCCAAAACGUUAGCAUCAAAGGGUAGUCAUUCAUCCUGCCAGAGUCCUAACCUUUUACAUGACGUGACUUUUUCUUCAGAUCUACUAUGAUACAAAAGUGAGUAAAAGCCAAAGAUGCGGUCUCAGAGUUUAGAGCCAGGUUCAGUAUAUGCAGAUAUGGCUGCAGCGACCGAAUAAGCUCUGCAUCUUGUUUAGUGUUUUACCUGAAGGAGCAGGCUCUCCAUCUGAGCCAGCCCAAAACAUAAGCAAACUAUGCUGCUGGCUAAAGCGCAUGGGCCAGGGGGUUGCUCUUAAAUAAAGUACAAAUAUUAAGAAAUUUCAAAGUCUUUCUUAUUUAAAUGACCUGGCAUAUUUCACAUAUGAUGCAAAAUGUAACUGUGAACUAAUCAAUAUAUGCAUCUCUAUCUCUAUACUAUAACAAUGUACUCCAGACACUGCUGUCAGACUAAAUAAAUUAUUCAAAAAAAGGAGCUUUGUCUCCACAAUUUAUUUCCUGCUGUUGUUGGUUUUUUUUUUAUAAAUUAUGAAUAAAUACACUGCAAUUGUGUCUCCAAAUCAAAUUAAAUCUGAAGCUCUCCACAUUCUCCGGUAUGUGACCUUUUCCCCUUAAAGGGGUUCGGUUUCACUUUCUGGAAUAAUUGGGCUUUCCUUAAAAGUCAUGUUUUCCAAUAAAUGUCACUACAUGACAGUUUAGGAGCAUUCAUUACUGAUCUUUUAAAGCUUAAUAACAAUCAAUAUUAAUAAUAAUAAUAUUGAUUCGAUACAAUCAAUUGUGUAUCAUCUCAUUUCCCCCCUUUUGCAUAGCAAAUCUGCCUUUGACGCUGCAUGGUAACCAGACCCACCAUAGAGCUUGUCCAAACUGCCUGCAAAGAACCAAAAAAAAAGAGGUUUUUGUUUUUUUUCUUGGUCAAAUUUAAAUUGAAGAAUUUUGAACUUUGCAAUAAACCAGCUGUAAUGACACCUCGCAGGGUUUUGUCAGUGGCAACAAAGUUUGCAGCAUCAAGCCGAAUGGUUCUCCCGGUCGGUUCUGACUCUCUCGCAGCGGAUUAAGGUGAGGGGUCGUCUGUUAAACGCCUAUUCAUCCUCUUUGAUUGAGAGAGUCCUCGGGUGAAGCAUAAUGGAUUUUCAAGGGCAGCGAUGACAAUAAUUGGCUACUUUCGCUUCACUGAAAUGGACAAGGUCCUAAAAAAGAGAGUCUCUUCAAAGAUUCAGAUCCGACGGUAUGGGGCUAAAUGAAAAUAAAGACACUAAGGGGUUCUUAGGUGACAAAUUGAUAACUGAUAUUACGAGGGCCGGCUAUGGAUCUCCUGUGUGUCCAGAUCACUGACCCCCAGACCAAACGUGGUGAGGCAGCAGUUUAGAUAAUCCGGUUAUGGGAAGCUGAUGAGCUACUCGCUCAGAUGACCUGCUGAGAUUUCCCUGGAUGGAGUAAGCUUUAAAGAAGGACGUUGAUUUUGAGUCAAUCGAGCCUACGCUGUUUGCUGCAGCGUUAUUCGAAGGAGAUCAUUGUAGGUCAACUGAUUACGCAUUUGUUUCGCAUUUAUUUAGCCAUUUCUAUGCACAUGCAUGUGUGCAAUUUUAUCUUUUAUGUUUUGGAAUAUAGUUUUAAAUAAAAAUACUUUUAGACAACACCGACUGGAGCUGAAUUAGUGAAAAUAUUAAACGCAGCAUUGUCAGAACUAUAAUAGAAUAGAAGCGAAAAUGUUUUGAGCCCUUAAUGAUAAAGUUGUGGGGGAAAAAAUCAUGUUUUAGACACGUUUUCGCAAAAAAAAAUCCAUGUCAGAAGAAUUUUAUGUUGCAACUAUCAGUUUAAAUGUUGGAACAGAUUAUUUGCUGUUUGAAUUUUCCAUGCAGAUUCACACUGAAUAGCCUGGACAAAAAAAAACAGAACAGCCGCAACUCUGAGCUGGAGAACUUAUUGCCAGCCUCGCAGCCUGAUCCCAGCCUUCGCUCACAGGUGGGAGUGCCUCAAGGUGCAGAAGCAGCAGUAGCAGACAAAGGUGCAGAGGCGUGUCACCUGACCAACCCCUGCCACGCAACACACUCAUGAGAACCACAGCAGCGUCUGAGAACGAGACAACCUCCCUUUUGCACACAGCGUUUCACCAGGUGCGACUCCUUUUCUCUUCGCUUACUUUCCACUUCACUUCACACUGAGCUCUUAAAUUUCAGGCUCUUCCACUUUUUGCAGGUAACGUUGUGGCCAUUGUGUGUUUGCAGCACUUCCUCCAGCGAGGGCAUUGAUUGUGCGUGCUCGAGCCCCACGCUGCUUUGUGCAACUCCUUCAGGAUGCAUGCUUUGUUCACUUUGAUCAGAUAAAUCUCACUGCUUGUUUUUUUUUUUUUUCAAAUCUCAUUGGAAAUGUUUGAAGGUGGUUUUAAUUAUCCUGCUCUACGCUGAAGGCCUCUGAGGCAUUAAUGUAAUGUUAGGAUUAAACCUCAAAGGUCUAACGUGCUCAUGUUAGAACUAUAUAUAAUAGAAUACAUCUUGUUAUUCGUGUGAAACAACAGGCCCUACUUUCCAUUUUCAUUAACAGUAUCCCGCUCUUUCGUUUUUCCGUCUGCAGCGGUGUAGCAAUGCCACAGAUUGUAUCAUAUCGCCGCUUCAGUGACAGCUAUUUGGAGCUAGUCUACAAUUUAUCUUUUCCUCUCUGAGAGGUUUCACUGUAACCCAGGUUUCAGGUGACAUUUCUCCAUCUAUCAGGCUCCAUGUCACAUGUGGCGCCCUUGGAAGCUUUUUAAAACCACCUGCUGGACAGUAACCACCACCCAGCAUGGAAGUACUAGCAGGCCAUGUGCUGAUGAAUAACACUCGCUGACAAAUGAGGCUGACAUCAUCCUGGAGCAGAAAUAAAAAUACCAGAUGAAAAGGCGCUCUAAUUAUUCCGGGAGGCUGGGAAAUAAAUGAUUGGCUUUGAAGUAGGCUCGGGCCUUGGACUACAUUAGAAGCCAACCAUGUGAUUUGCAACUGUUGAAGUAAAAACCUUCAUUCUGCUACAGUACAGCAAGAAGAAGGGGGGGGGGGAUAAAUGAAGGAAAGGAAAAAUGAGGAGGGUGGAUUCUCAGCAAAAAGGAAAAAUGGUAUCUUUGUUUGUUCCCCUUUUGUUUACCACAAGAUUCUUUUUUUUUUCACUUUUUUUUCGUUUUUACUAAUUCAUUUCAAUGGCUUUUCAAUCUGGAAAAUGGAAAUGUUGCUCCUGCCCUCUGUCUCGGCGGCAGCGUCCUGGCAACAGAGCAAUUUUCUAUCAUCAGGGAUAAACGGCAUCGAACAGUACAUUCUGAUAAAAAAAAAAAAGAAGCCCAUGAUUGCUGGCCUUCCUGUCUGUCAUCUAGCGACCAAAUCCUCUCCUUCAAGACCGACCACUGUGCUGUCAGACCUAAUAAUGUCGCGUAUUAAGUCGAGAGGGGGGGAAAGGAGGACCAUGCUGCAACCGCCGGGGCCCGCACUGCCCCGAUUUGUCACCAUGCAGCAUCAAAUUCACCAUCAGCUUCCCGCGUAUGGAGUCUUUUGUCUGCAGCUUGGUGCGCACCGUGUUGCCGCUUCAGGCCUGCACGCUGCGCAUCAGCUUUAUUUAAAACCGCGCCAAACACAAUUAAUAAAAAAAAAACGCACAUAAAAGACCCGAAUUGGUCGUGUCUUGGUUCAGUGUCGUUGCGCGUAUUCAUUCUAUUCUUCAUUUGCUUUUCGACGUUUCAGAGGCAAAAACGACCGAGUUGUUUUGCGAGUAAUUAAAGACCACACGAAAGGUGACAGAGAGCGCCGCCGUUCAGGUGGGUUCCCAGCAUGCAACGUGGCGGGGGCAACCUCUGGAAACACGUUCAAAGGAUCCUAAGGGGAGGUGGGGCGUGUGCGUACCGAUUUUGGGUGGGUACGCACACGCCUGAGCACCCAGAGCAACGUUUCAGGAGCUUUGCAUUAAGUGAGGGAUGUAUAAUAAAAAAAAAUGGCACGGCAUAUGAAGGACACGCCGAUCAAUCAGCGGCCAACACGCUGCGGCUAUAAAUGCAAUGCAAUUAGAGGAUUAAAAAAAUGGAAAAUUACAAGUGAAUUUGAAAAUAGGGAAGUAAAUAAAUACAUGAGCCAAUAAAUAAAAGGUGGCCAGCAAAGAAGGAAAGAAUCAAAGAAAAAGAACAAGUAGCCAUUUAAGAUGGAUGUCUAAUGUUUAAUACACCGGUAAAAAUUAGUACCAAUUAAAAGCACAGAUGUUAGCGGGCGAAUUUAUACCCCCCCCCCCCCCCCCCCAACCCACCCCUACUGCAAACGAAGGAAUCAGGCGACAAGUGAAACGAGCAGUCUUAAUUAGAGAACGGUCUGCCCUGAGUGAGACCAGCGCAGCUUCAGCCGUGCCAAAUUAAAUCCAUUAGUCUAUGAGAGGCUGUGAAGACUCAGGGGUGCAGGCCCCGCUGCUUAUUUUGUGGUCAUUUACAGCUCGUCUUCCAGCACGCUACGCUGGGUCCAUCUGAAGGCCCAUCUCUCCUCUCGCCUGCACCUGGGGCCAUGCAUAUGCCAAUUUUGCUAUUUGCUGGCGAGAUAAUGCUAGGAGCGCAUUAUUUAUGAUGCAAAACUUAUGGUAAACAGCCGUCCGCCGCGAGUGCGCUGCGUGGUUUUGCUUUAUGACCAAACCACACUCAUUUUCCCUGGUGUAGUCGUGCGCUUUAACAGAACACAUCAAAGCUUGGCGUAAGUGGAUUUGUAUUAGUGCGCCCUGCGUAAUUUAAAUGCAUAAAAGGAGAAAGAACGCCGUCAUUUAUGCAGAGAUUUUUUUCAUAUAUUUAUUUAUUUAUUGCUCGCUGCAUAUUGAUAUAUUGGGAGUUUGACCACAUUGAUCAGAGGGCCUAAGACUGAAUGGGUGGAGGGGCCUAAGAAGAAUUUGAGGCCCCAAUUUCACUUUAGAUAAGUAAUCACAUUUCUACAUUGUUAUAGUUUAGAGCUAAACUGUGCCUAAAAGGAGACUCCUACACAAACACAAGAAGAGUAGAUUAAAAUAGCAGCCUUAAAGAUGUUAUCAUUUACCACUACUUGCAUAUAUGUGUUGCAAAACAACGCUGGGUAAUGAGCUAUGGACUUUCACACCGGCAUUUCACAAAAUACAUUAUUUCAAAUAUUUUUAACCACUGGAUGACAUUACAUUACACACUAGAAUGAAGCUGGUCAGCUGAUAUAUGGAAAUAAAACAUGACCAGAAUAGAGGUGAGGGAGGAAUCUGAUCAAAACCUCUAUAAUAGAGAAGAACAUUUUAAGAAAAAAGCACAAGUGGAUGCAGUAAAAGAACUCUGGACCUUGCCCUUGUGCUAUUUGUGAUGUCACCAGAGGCAUGUCUGCAUGGAAGCUUGUUUUGGGAGGCUAAAUUUUUAUCCUGAUUGAUGUUUUACAACAAACAACCGUGAGGUGUUGUCCCAUAAUGUGUGACAAACUCUAUCUAUAGCGACCCUGACUGAAUUUACAGCAUUCUGGUUCGUAGCUUUAAAUAGUUCCAAAUUACCAUCGCUUUUCUCUGCAUAUA
Long non-coding RNA from Fundulus heteroclitus (mummichog), 6378 nucleotides. RefSeq lists it as uncharacterized. Lineage: Eukaryota; Metazoa; Chordata; Actinopteri; Cyprinodontiformes; Fundulidae. The transcript is spliced from 2 exons. The record is from RefSeq and is a predicted model, not a curated record.